UAGAGGUCUUAUUAUGUUUCUGAGUCUAAUUCCCUUAAAUUAAAUGAAAAUACACACACACACCUGAUUGAAGGGAAUUAGACUCAUGAACAUAAUAGGACCCCUAUA
RNAcentral lists this microRNA precursor (108 nucleotides) under Beta vulgaris subsp. vulgaris (sugar beet). RNAcentral's name for it is "pre miRNA MIR403". Lineage: Eukaryota; Viridiplantae; Streptophyta; Magnoliopsida; Caryophyllales; Amaranthaceae. The record is from RNAcentral.